GCACGAAUGUCCUAUGUUUUAAAUAAUCAACUAGCCUCAUAUUGCCUGUUUGGUAUCCCUUUCAAUGUUUCUGUUUUUAGAAUCGUUGCGCAUGCGCAUUAUCUGUACCUGAGAACAUCUUGUGCAAAAGGAUUGAUAAAUAUAAAUAUAACUGUUCAAGAUGGGUAACGCAGUAUGGAGAAACACCGACCAAGUUGACAAAGGGUGGAACGGGUCAUGGGAUGAUACGUAUUCUAAAGCCUUAUUGAAAGAAAUAAAAAACACAAAACGCACCUAUGUUUUGGCAUCAGGCAUACUUUAUUGUGGACCAGCGACACAUGGAAAAUCCAGCUUUGUCAACAGCAUUC
Long non-coding RNA from Mercenaria mercenaria, 347 nucleotides. RefSeq lists it as uncharacterized. The transcript is spliced from 4 exons. The record is from RefSeq and is a predicted model, not a curated record. Lineage: Eukaryota; Metazoa; Mollusca; Bivalvia; Venerida; Veneridae.